GUGCAGCAGGCGAGAAACUUUACAAUGUGCGAAAGCACGAUAAGGGAACUCUGAGUGCCUCCUAAGGAGGCUGUUCAGGUGUCUAAAAGCACCUGAAGGAAGGGCUAGGUAAGACCGGUGCCAGCCGCCGCGGUAACACCGGCAGCCCAAGUGGUAGCCACGUUUAUUGGGUCUAAAGCGUCCGUAGCCGGCUGGGUAAGUUCCUUGGGAAAUUUGGCUGCUUAACAGUCAAGCUUUCAGGGAAUACUGCCCGGCUUGGGGACCGGGAGAGGUCAGAGGUACUCCGAGGGGUAGGGGUGAAAUCCAUUAAUCCUUGGGGGACCACCGGUAGCGAAGGCGUCUGACCAGACCGGGUCCGACGGUGAGGGACGAAGGCUAGGGGCGCGAACCGGAUUA
This 396-nucleotide ribosomal RNA is filed under the name uncultured microorganism. Its description in RNAcentral is "bacterial SSU rRNA". It matches the Rfam family "Archaeal small subunit ribosomal RNA", at positions 330 to 731 of the family's 1478-position model. The record is from RNAcentral.